GCUGCGGUUAUACUUUAAGGUUAAGUAAAACUUUAUUGGUUGUAGUUAAAAUGUAUAAAUGAUAUUAGUUUUUAAAAAAUAAAAGGUGAAAUUAGAUUAUUUAUUAUAAAAACAAGAAAAAUUUUUUUUGAAGCUAAAAUUUUUUAGGUUAAAACUAGGAUUAGAUACCCUACUAUUCUAAAAAGCAAUUUAUUACUAACUAAAUGAUUAAUAGAUAUAUUCUUUAAAAUUAAAGAAUUUGGCGGUAAUUUAGUCUUGUUAGAGGAACCUGUUUAUUAAAUCGAUAAACCACGAAAUAUCUUACUUAUUCUUGUGUUAGUUUGUAUACCAUCAUUAUCAGAUAAUUUUUAUAGAAAAAAUUAUUAAGUUCAUAAAAAUUAAUAAAAUUAGAUCAAGGUGCAGCUUAUGAAUAAGCUUGAAUGGGUUACAAUAAAUUAUAAUUAAAUGGAAUAAAAUUUUAAAAUUUUUAUGAAGGAGGAUUUAAUUGUAAUAAAAGUUUAAAAUGCUUUUAUGAUAUAAGCUCUAAAUUAUGUACAUAUCGCCCGUCGCUUUCAUAUAAUUAUAUGAGAUAAGUCG
This 576-nucleotide ribosomal RNA is filed under the name Euryplacidae sp. UST SKZoea6. Its description in RNAcentral is "partial small subunit ribosomal RNA". Lineage: Eukaryota; Metazoa; Arthropoda; Malacostraca; Decapoda; Euryplacidae. The record is from RNAcentral.